RNAcentral lists this transfer RNA (86 nucleotides) under Bacillus cereus. RNAcentral's name for it is "tRNA-His". It matches the Rfam family "tRNA". From Rfam's summary of the family: Transfer RNA (tRNA) molecules are approximately 80 nucleotides in length. The record is from RNAcentral. RNAcentral also lists the same sequence under 9 other names. Lineage: Bacteria; Bacillati; Bacillota; Bacilli; Caryophanales; Bacillaceae.
GGUGUUUGUGGUGGAAUUGGUAGACACGCCUAACUGUGGAUUAGGUGGGAGAAAUCCCUUGCAGGUUCAAAUCCUGUCAUUCACCC